CCUACGGGUGGCAGCAGUGAGGAAUAUUGGUCAAUGGGCGCGAGCCUGAACCAGCCAAGUAGCGUGAAGGAUGACUGCCCUACGGGUUGUAAACUUUUUUUAUAAAGGAAUAAAGUGAGGCACGUGUGCCUUUUUGUCUGUACUUUUUGAAUACGGAUCGGCUAACUCCGUGCCAGCAGCCGCGGUAAUACGGAGUAUCCGAGCGUUAUCCGGUUUUAUUGGGUUUAACGGGUGCGUAGGCGGAUCGUUACGUCAGUGUUAAAAUUGAGGGGUUCAACCCCUUCCCGCCAUUGAAACUGGCGUUCUUGAGUGGAAGAGAAGUAUGCGGAAGGCGUGGUGUAGCGGUGAAAUGCGUAGAUAUCACGCAGAACCCCGAUGGCGAAGGCAGCAUGCCGGCUUCCGACUGACGCUGAAGCACGAAAGCGUGGGGAGCGAACAGGAUUAGAUACCCUUGUAGUC
RNAcentral lists this ribosomal RNA (459 nucleotides) under uncultured bacterium. RNAcentral's name for it is "partial 16S ribosomal RNA". It matches the Rfam family "Bacterial small subunit ribosomal RNA", at positions 338 to 795 of the family's 1533-position model. The record is from RNAcentral.